This 498-nucleotide ribosomal RNA is filed under the name uncultured bacterium. Its description in RNAcentral is "partial 16S ribosomal RNA". It matches the Rfam family "Bacterial small subunit ribosomal RNA", at positions 28 to 507 of the family's 1533-position model. The record is from RNAcentral.
GACGAACGCUGGCGGCGUGCCUAAUACAUGCAAGUCGAGCGGACGAAUCGAAAGCUUGCUUUUGAUUCGUUAGCGGCGGACGGGUGAGUAACACGUGGGCAACCUGCCCUGUAGACGGGGAUAACACCGAGAAAUCGGUGCUAAUACCGGAUAACACGAAAUGUCGCAUGACGUUUCGUUGAAAGACGGCGCAAGCUGUCGCUACAGGAUGGGCCCGCGGCGCAUUAGCUAGUUGGUGAGGUAACGGCUCACCAAGGCGACGAUGCGUAGCCGACCUGAGAGGGUGAUCGGCCACACUGGGACUGAGACACGGCCCAGACUCCUACGGGAGGCAGCAGUAGGGAAUCUUCCGCAAUGGACGAAAGUCUGACGGAGCAACGCCGCGCGAGCGAAGAAGGCCUUCGGGUCGUAAAGCUCUGUUGUUAGGGAAGAACAAGUAACGCAGUAACUGGCGUUACCGUGACGGUACCUAACGAGAAAGCCACGGCUAACUACGUG